CCUACGGGGGGCAGCAGUGGGGGAUAUUGCACAAUGGGGGAAACCCUGAUGCAGCGACGCCGCGUGGGCGAAGAAGUAUUUCGGUAUGUAAAGCCCUAUCAGCAGGGAAGAAGAAAUGACGGUACCUGAGUAAGAAGCACCGGCUAAAUACGUGCCAGCAGCCGCGGUAAUACGUAUGGUGCAAGCGUUAUCCGGAUUUACUGGGUGUAAAGGGAGCGCAGGCGGCACGGCAAGCCUGAUGUGAAAGCCCGCGGCCCAACCGCGGGACUGCAUUGGGAACUACCGGGCUGGAGUGCCGGAGAGGUAGGCGGAAUGCCUAGGGUAGCGGUGAAAUGCGUAGAGAUUAGGAGGAACACCAGUGGCGAAGGCGGCUUACUGGACUGUAACUGACGUUGAGGCUCGAAAGCGUGGGGAGCAAACAGGAUUAGAUACCCCAGUAGUC
Molecule: ribosomal RNA, 442 nt
Filed under: uncultured bacterium
Lineage: Bacteria
Description: partial 16S ribosomal RNA
Rfam family: Bacterial small subunit ribosomal RNA
Source: RNAcentral